AGGGAAUCUUCCGCAAUGGACGAAAGUCUGACGGAGCAACGCCGCGUGAGUGAUGAAGGUUUUCGGAUCGUAAAGCUCUGUUGCCAGGGAAGAACGUCCUGUAGAGUAACUGCUACAGGAGUGACGGUACCUGAGAAGAAAGCCCCGGCUAACUACGUGCCAGCAGCCGCGGUAAUACGUAGGGGGCAAGCGUUGUCCGGAAUUAUUGGGCGUAAAGCGCGCGCAGGCGGCUGUUUAAGUCUGGUGUUUGAUCCUGGGGCUCAACCCCGGGUCGCACUGGAAACUGGGCAGCUUGAGUGCAGAAGAGGAGAGUGGAAUUCCACGUGUAGCGGUGAAAUGCGUAGAGAUGUGGAGGAGCACCAGUGGCGAAGGCGACUCUCUGGGCUGUAACUGACGCUGAGGCGCGAAAGCGUGGGGAGCAAAC
This 424-nucleotide ribosomal RNA is filed under the name uncultured bacterium. RNAcentral describes it as "bacterial SSU rRNA". It matches the Rfam family "Bacterial small subunit ribosomal RNA", at positions 356 to 773 of the family's 1533-position model. The record is from RNAcentral.